UACGGAGGGUGCGAGCGUUGUCCGGAAUCAUUGGGCGUAAAGGGCGCGUAGGUGGCCUGCUAAGUCGAACGUGAAAUCCCUGGGCUCAACCCAGGAACUGCGUCCGAUACUGGUUGGCUUGAAUCCGGGAGAGGGAUGUGGAAUUCCAGGUGUAGCGGUGAAAUGCGUAGAUAUCUGGAGGAACACCGGUGGCGAAGGCGACAUCCUGGACCGGUAUUGACGCUGAGGCGCGAAAGCCAGGGGAGCAAACGGG
Molecule: ribosomal RNA, 253 nt
Filed under: uncultured bacterium
Lineage: Bacteria
Description: partial 16S ribosomal RNA
Rfam family: Bacterial small subunit ribosomal RNA
Source: RNAcentral